CCUGCGGAAGGAUCAUUGUCGAAACCUGCAAAGCAGAACGACCCGCGAACUAGUUUAUCACACUCGGGGAGGCAGGGCUAGCCUCUGUCCCUCGUACCCGGCUCGUUGCUUCCCCAUCUCCCCCUCGGGGGCCGAUGGGUGGGAGCGUGUCGGCAUUGUACCCUAACACCGGCGCGGGUUGCGCCAAGGACCAAUAAUUCUAUCGCGUCCCGCCUCCCUCGGGCAACCGGGGGAGCCGGCGAUGGCGUGUCGAUAUAUAACAAAACGACUCUCGGCAACGGAUAUCUCGGCUCUCGCAUCGAUGAAGAACGUAGCGAAAUGCGAUACUUGGUGUGAAUUGCAGAAUCCCGUGAACCAUCGAGUCUUUGAACGCAAGUUGCGCCCGAAGCCAUUUGGCCGAGGGCACGUCUGCCUGGGCGUCACGCAUCGCGUCGCCCCCUCCUCCUCCAUUUGGGACCGGGAGAGGGGCGGAUUCUGGCCCCCCGUGCGCCCUGCGUGCGGUCGGCCUAAAUACGGAGCCCGUGUCCGCGAAUGCCGCGACGAUUGGUGGUUUGACGCACGACUCCACGAGCUUCGGCUCAUGGCAUCGUGAAGCAUCGCGUCGCGUGCCCGAGUGGACCACGUCAAGCUCGAAGGACCCUAGCGAAGGGAAGGAGAGUGGGCAUCCCGUCUGGGAUCCUGUGAACCAACCCUAUCCGUUGCGACCCCAGGUCAGGCGGGACUACCCGCUGAGUUUAAGCAUAUCAAUAAGCGGAGGAAAAGAAACUUACAAGGUUCCCCU
Molecule: ribosomal RNA, 781 nt
Filed under: Triplaris longifolia
Lineage: Eukaryota; Viridiplantae; Streptophyta; Magnoliopsida; Caryophyllales; Polygonaceae
Description: eukaryotic LSU rRNA
Rfam family: 5.8S ribosomal RNA (bases 267-422)
Source: RNAcentral